Clostridium sp. N3C is the source of this 181-nucleotide ribosomal RNA. It matches the Rfam family "Bacterial large subunit ribosomal RNA", at positions 1946 to 2126 of the family's 2925-position model. The record is from Rfam. NCBI's taxonomy places the organism in Bacteria, Bacillati, Bacillota, Clostridia, Eubacteriales, Clostridiaceae.
CGGUCCUAAGGUAGCGAAAUUCCUUGUCGGGUAAGUUCCGACCCGCACGAAUGGCGUAAUGAUUUGGGCACUGUCUCAACUGCAAAUCCGGCGAAAUUGUAGUGCAAGUGAAGAUGCUUGCUACCCGCGAUUGGACGGAAAGACCCCGUAGAGCUUUACUGUAGCUUAGCAUUGAGUUUCG